UACAGAGGUGGCAAGCGUUGUUCGGAAUUACUGGGCGUAAAGCGUGCGCAGGCGGUUCGUUAAGUUCGAUGUGAAAGCCCCGGGCUCAACCUGGGAACUGCAUUGGAAACUGGCGAGCUUGAAUGCGGCAGAGGGGGGUGGAAUUCCGCGUGUAGCAGUGAAAUGCGUAGAGAUGCGGAGGAACACCGAUGGCGAAGGCAGCCCCCUGGGCCGACAUUGACGCUCAGGCACGAAAGCGUGGGGAGCAAACAGG
Molecule: ribosomal RNA, 253 nt
Filed under: uncultured bacterium
Lineage: Bacteria
Description: partial 16S ribosomal RNA
Rfam family: Bacterial small subunit ribosomal RNA
Source: RNAcentral